UACGUAGGGUGCAAGUGUUAAUCGGAAUUACUGGGCGUAAAGCGUGCGCAGGCGGUUUUGUAAGACUGUCGUGAAAUCCCCGGGCUCAACCUGGGAAUGGCGAUGGUGACUGCAAGGCUAGAGUUUGGCAGAGGGGGGUAGAAUUCCACGUGUAGCAGUGAAAUGCGUAGGUAUGUGGAGGAACACCGAUGGCGAAGGCAGCCCCCUGGGUCAAAACUGACGCUCAUGCACGAAAGCGUGGGGAGCAAACAGG
RNAcentral lists this ribosomal RNA (253 nucleotides) under uncultured bacterium. RNAcentral's name for it is "partial 16S ribosomal RNA". It matches the Rfam family "Bacterial small subunit ribosomal RNA", at positions 524 to 776 of the family's 1533-position model. The record is from RNAcentral.